UACGGAGGGUGCGAGCGUUGUCCGGAAUCACUGGGCGUAAAGGGCGCGUAGGCGGCCUGCUAAGUCGAACGUGAAAUCCCCGGGCUCAACCCGGGAACUGCGUCCGAUACUGGUAGGCUUGAAUCCGGGAGAGGGAUGCGGAAUUCCAGGUGUAGCGGUGAAAUGCGUAGAUAUCUGGAGGAACACCGGUGGCAAAGGCGGCAUCCUGGACCGGUAUUGACGCUGAGGCGCGAAAGCCAGGGGAGCAAACGGG
RNAcentral lists this ribosomal RNA (253 nucleotides) under uncultured bacterium. RNAcentral describes it as "partial 16S ribosomal RNA". It matches the Rfam family "Bacterial small subunit ribosomal RNA", at positions 524 to 776 of the family's 1533-position model. The record is from RNAcentral.